AUACGAAGGGGGCAAGCGUUGUUCGGAAUUACUGGGCGUAAAGGGCGCGUAGGCGGCUUAUCAAGUCAGGCGUGAAAUUCCCGGGCUCAACCUGGGGGCUGCGCUUGAUACUGAUGAGCUUGAAUGCGGGAGAGGAUAGUGGAAUUCCCAGUGUAGAGGUGAAAUUCGUAGAUAUUGGGAAGAACACCAGUGGCGAAGGCGGCUAUCUGGCCCGUAAUUGACGCUGAGGCGCGAAAGCGUGGGGAGCAAACA
Molecule: ribosomal RNA, 252 nt
Filed under: uncultured prokaryote
Description: partial 16S ribosomal RNA
Rfam family: Bacterial small subunit ribosomal RNA
Source: RNAcentral